RNAcentral lists this ribosomal RNA (1371 nucleotides) under uncultured bacterium. RNAcentral describes it as "bacterial SSU rRNA". It matches the Rfam family "Bacterial small subunit ribosomal RNA", at positions 28 to 1381 of the family's 1533-position model. The record is from RNAcentral.
GAUAAACGCUGGCGGCGUGCCUAAUACAUGCAAGUCGAGCGAACGGACGAGAAGCUUGCUUCUCUGAUGUUAGCGGCGGACGGGUGAGUAACACGUGGAUAACCUACCUAUAAGACUGGGAUAACUUCGGGAAACCGGAGCUAAUACCGGAUAAUAUUUUGAACCGCAUGGUUCAAAAGUGAAAGACGGUCUUGCUGUCACUUAUAGAUGGAUCCGCGCUGCAUUAGCUAGUUGGUAAGGUAACGGCUUACCAAGGCAACGAUGCAUAGCCGACCUGAGAGGGUGAUCGGCCACACUGGAACUGAGACACGGUCCAGACUCCUACGGGAGGCAGCAGUAGGGAAUCUUCCGCAAUGGGCGAAAGCCUGACGGAGCAACGCCGCGUGAGUGAUGAAGGUCUUCGGAUCGUAAAACUCUGUUAUUAGGGAAGAACAUAUGUGUAAGUAACUGUGCACAUCUUGACGGUACCUAAUCAGAAAGCCACGGCUAACUACGUGCCAGCAGCCGCGGUAAUACGUAGGUGGCAAGCGUUAUCCGGAAUUAUUGGGCGUAAAGCGCGCGUAGCGGUUUUUUAAGUCUGAUGUGAAAGCCCACGGCUCAACCGUGGAGGGUCAUUGGAAACUGGAAAACUUGAGUGCAGAAGAGGAAAGUGGAAUUCCAUGUGUAGCGGUGAAAUGCGCAGAGAUAUGGAGGAACACCAGUGGCGAAGGCGACUUUCUGGUCUGUAACUGACGCUGAUGUGCGAAAGCGUGGGGAUCAAACAGGAUUAGAUACCCUGGUAGUCCACGCCGUAAACGAUGAGUGCUAAGUGUUAGGGGGUUUCCGCCCCUUAGUGCUGCAGCUAACGCAUUAAGCACUCCGCCUGGGGAGUACGACCGCAAGGUUGAAACUCAAAGGAAUUGACGGGGACCCGCACAAGCGGUGGAGCAUGUGGUUUAAUUCGAAGCAACGCGAAGAACCUUACCAAAUCUUGACAUCCUUUGACAACUCUAGAGAUAGAGCCUUCCCCUUCGGGGGACAAAGUGACAGGUGGUGCAUGGUUGUCGUCAGCUCGUGUCGUGAGAUGUUGGGUUAAGUCCCGCAACGAGCGCAACCCUUAAGCUUAGUUGCCAUCAUUAAGUUGGGCACUCUAAGUUGACUGCCGGUGACAAACCGGAGGAAGGUGGGGAUGACGUCAAAUCAUCAUGCCCCUUAUGAUUUGGGCUACACACGUGCUACAAUGGACAAUACAAAGGGCAGCGAAACCGCGAGGUCAAGCAAAUCCCAUAAAGUUGUUCUCAGUUCGGAUUGUAGUCUGCAACUCGACUACAUGAAGCUGGAAUCGCUAGUAAUCGUAGAUCAGCAUGCUACGGUGAAUACGUUCCCGGGUCU